This 1331-nucleotide long non-coding RNA is filed under the name Anolis carolinensis (green anole). Its description in RNAcentral is "lncRNA (ENSACAG00000043028.1)". Lineage: Eukaryota; Metazoa; Chordata; Lepidosauria; Squamata; Anolidae. The record is from RNAcentral.
AUGGCUAUCAUGUCUCCUCUCAGCCUUCUCUUCUGCAGGCUAAACAAGCCCUAUGAGGAGUGGCUUAAAGAACUGGGCAUGUUUAGCCUGCAGAAGAGAAGGCUGAGAGGAGACAUUAUGUAUAAAUACGUGAGGGGUAGUCAUAGGGAGGAGGGAGCAAGCUUGUUUUCUGCUGCCCUGUAGACUAGGACGCAAUGGAACAAUGGCUUCAAACUACAAGAAAGGAGAUUCCACCUGAACAUUAGGAAGAACUUCCUCACUGUGACAGCUGUUCAGCAGUGGAACUCUCUGACCCGGACUGUGGUGGAGGCUCCUUCUUUGGAGGCUUUUAAGCAGAGGCUGGAUGGCCAUCUGUUGGGGUGCUUUGAAUGUGAUUUCCUGCUUCUUGGCAGAAUGGGGUUGGACUGGAUGGCCCAUGAGGUCUCUUUUGAAACAACAUUUUUUUAAACGCUAACAGAACGAUGGCCACGCCUCUGCCUCCCUCCCUCUCCCGCUCUGAUUGGCUUAGCGCAAGGCUUCUGGGAAAUGGAGUUUUAUCCAGGCCAUGUCUGCUGCUUGCUUCAUUUCCACUUAAAUAAAUGGAGAAAAUUCAGAGGCUUCGUUCUCCUGCUUUUUGAAAGCUAUUGGGAUAUAAUUUGCCUCAAUCCAAGUAAAAAUUCACCACUCUUUGACUAUCAAGUUUCAUAAUGUUUGACGCAUCCACUGAUUUUUGGGGCAUUUUGAAACAACAUUUUUUUAAAACGCUAGCAGAACGAUGGCCACGCCUCUCCCUCCCUCUUCCUUCCACUCUGAUUGGUUGAGAGGCAUGCCAACAUGGCUUCUCCUCUCAGAGGGGCUACAGCUACAUCUGAAGACAUCAGAAACAGAUGAAAAAAAGUUGCUUUUUAAUUCAAAUUCAUAAUAUUAGGAAGGCAAUGAGCAGAUGUUUCAAAAAUCACUUCAAAAGUGCUUUCGAACAGAAUUUGAAACGAAUUUAACGGGCUAACGAAAAAUUUGCUCAACCCUACUAGUAACUAUGCACUUUUGACUUGACCCCCCCUCCCCCAUCUUAUCAAUCGGUGGGAAAGUUGUUUUAUGGCCUUUUUAUCCUGCGCUUAUAGUUUUAUUUGUACAAUUGUAUUUGAAUUUUUUUUACUUGAUUGUCAUGUUGCUCUUGUUUUUAUGUUUUAACUUGUUUAUACCUUGUUCUUCUUUUGGGCUUGGUCCCAUGUUAGCCACCCCAAGUCCCUUUGGGGAGAUGGUGGCAGGAUAUAAAAAUAAAGUAUUAUUAUUAUUAUUAUUAUUAUUAUUAUUAUUAUUAUUAUAGAAAUAAUUUCUAAAUAUAUGUAUCA